Molecule: ribosomal RNA, 303 nt
Filed under: uncultured bacterium
Lineage: Bacteria
Description: partial 16S ribosomal RNA
Rfam family: Bacterial small subunit ribosomal RNA
Source: RNAcentral
AGCAGUAGCCGCGGUAAUACGGAGGGUGCAAGCGUUAAUCGGAAUUACUGGGCGUAAAGCGCACGCAGGCGGUCUGACAAGUCAGAUGUAAAAUCCCCGGGCUUAACCUGGGAACUGCAUUUGAAACUGUCAGGCUGGAGUCUUGUAGAGGGGGGUGGAAUUCCAGGUGUAGCGGUGAAAUGCGUAGAGAUCUGGAGGAAUACCGGUGGCGAAGGCGGCCCCCUGGACAAAGACUGACGCUCAGGUGCGAAAGCGUGGGGAGCAAACAGGAUUAGAUACCCCUGUAGUCCCUGUCUCUUAUAC